Molecule: ribosomal RNA, 268 nt
Filed under: uncultured prokaryote
Description: partial 16S ribosomal RNA
Rfam family: Bacterial small subunit ribosomal RNA
Source: RNAcentral
UACGUAGGUGGCGAGCGUUGUCCGGAUUUACUGGGGUAAAGGGAGCGUAGGCGGACUUUUAAGUGAGAUGUGAAAUACCCGGGCUCAACUUGGGUGCUGCAUUUCAAACUGGAAGUCUAGAGUGCAGGAGAGGAGAAUGGAAUUCCUAGUGUAGCGGUGAAAUGCGUGGAGAUUAGGAAGAACACCAGUGGCGAAGGCGAUUCUCUGGACUGUAACUGACGCUGAGGCUCGAAAGCGUGGGGAGCAAACAGGAUUAGAUACCCCCGUA